AACCCCAACGUCACCACUUUCAGAGUAUAUUUGUUUUACCUAAAGUGGAGAUGGAUGAUGACCGUAAAUAUCUACUUCCGCUGUUUGGUUUACCAUAACUUUAGCUUCGGUUAGCUCCGGUUGAAACGCAAACUUUUCAAAAUACCGUAAUUAACUUCGGCUCACCCAAGACCAACAUCAAUUACGAAGAAAAAUAAAAAAAAAUAAUUAAUUCAUCUCUUAUCCCUCAAAACUUUUACGUCAUUCACUUUCUGCCAAAUAAACAAUAAAAUUAGAGAGAACUUUAAUUUUGCAGCUAUACAAAUAAACAACGUAAGAGAAGCAACUUUUACAGAAACCCUAAUUUAUCCGAAAAUCUACUUUAAUUUGAAUUUCACCUUCGGCGAAACAAAUAGGCACUCGGCAUCACUCUUGACGCCUACAACCAUCUCAACCUCGUAGAUGAUGCCAACUGC
RNAcentral lists this long non-coding RNA (455 nucleotides) under Ananas comosus (pineapple). Its description in RNAcentral is "long non-coding RNA (ACOM_LNC035335)". Lineage: Eukaryota; Viridiplantae; Streptophyta; Magnoliopsida; Poales; Bromeliaceae. The record is from RNAcentral.